Molecule: ribosomal RNA, 806 nt
Filed under: uncultured bacterium
Lineage: Bacteria
Description: bacterial SSU rRNA
Rfam family: Bacterial small subunit ribosomal RNA
Source: RNAcentral
AGAGUUUGAUCCUGGCUCAGAAUCAACGCUGGCGGCGUGCCUAACACAUGCAAGUCGAACGCGGUUACCCCGCAAGGGGUAACUGAGUGGCGAACGGGUGAGUAACACGUGGGUGACCUACCUUCGAGUGGGGGAUAACGUCCCGAAAGGGACGCUAAUACCGCAUAACAUCCUGCCUUUGAACAGGUGGUGAUCAAAGCCGGGGACCGCAAGGCCCGGCGCUUGAUGGGGGGCCCGCGUCUGAUUAGCUAGUUGGUGGGGUAACGGCUCACCAAGGCGACGAUCAGUAUCCGGCCUGAGAGGGCGGACGGACACACUGGGACUGAGACACGGCCCAGACUCCUACGGGAGGCAGCAGUGGGGAAUUGUUCACAAUGGGCGCAAGCCUGAUGACGCAACGCCGCGUGGAGGAUGAAGGUCUUCGGAUUGUAAACUCCUGUUGCCCGGGACGAAAAGCUUCGACCUAAUACGUCGAAGUCUGACGGUACCGGGUGAGGAAGCCCCGGCUAACUCUGUGCCAGCAGCCGCGGUAAUACAGAGGGGGCAAGCGUUGUUCGGAAUUACUGGGCGUAAAGGGCGCGUAGGCGGCCUGCUAAGUCGAACGUGAAAUCCCCGGGCUCAACCCGGGAACUGCGUCCGAUACUGGUAGGCUUGAAUUCGGGAGAGGGAUGCGGAAUUCCAGGUGUAGCGGUGAAAUGCGUAGAUAUCUGGAGGAACACCGGUGGCGAAGGCGGCAUCCUGGACCGACAUUGACGCUGAGGCGCGAAAGCCAGGGGAGCAAACGGGAUUAGAUACCCUGGUAGUCC